This 140-nucleotide unclassified non-coding RNA is filed under the name soil metagenome. RNAcentral's name for it is "partial internal transcribed spacer 1". The record is from RNAcentral.
CCUAGAGUUGUAGGCUUUGCCUGCUAUCUCUUACCCAUGUCUUUUGAGUACCUUCGUUUCCCUCGGCGGGUCCGCCCGCCGAUUGGACAAUUUAAAACCCUUUGCAGUUGAAAUCAGCGUCUGAAAAAACUUAAUAGUUA